UGUGUAGGCGGUUGUUUAAGUUUGGUGUGAAAUCUCCCGGCUCAACUGGGAGGGUGCGCCGAAUACUGAAUGACUAGAGUGCGGGAGAGGAGAGUGGAAUUCCUGGUGUAGCGGUGAAAUGCGUAGAUAUCAGGAGGAACACCGGUGGUGUAGACGGCUCUCUGGACCGUAACUGACGCUGAGACACGAAAGCGUGGGUAGCAAACA
This 207-nucleotide ribosomal RNA is filed under the name uncultured bacterium. RNAcentral's name for it is "partial 16S ribosomal RNA". It matches the Rfam family "Bacterial small subunit ribosomal RNA", at positions 568 to 774 of the family's 1533-position model. The record is from RNAcentral.